UGGGGAAUUUUGGACAAUGGGCGCAAGCCUGAUCCAGCCAUGCCGCGUGAGUGAUGAAGGCCCUAGGGUUGUAAAGCUCUUUCCCCGGCGAAGAUAAUGACGGUAACCGGAGAAGAAGCCCCGGCUAACUUCGUGCCAGCAGCCGCGGUAAUACGAAGGGGGCUAGCGUUGUUCGGAUUUACUGGGCGUAAAGCGCACGUAGGCGGACUAUUAAGUCAGGGGGGAAAACCCGGGGCUAAACCCCGGAACUGCCUUUGAUACUGGUAGUCUUGAGUUCGAGAGAGGUGAGUGGAAUUCCGAGUGUAGAGGUGAAAGUCGAAGAUAUUCGGAGGAACACCAGUGGCGAGGGCGGCUCACUGGCUCGAUACUGACGCUGAGGUGCGAAAGCGUGGGGAGCAAACAGG
Molecule: ribosomal RNA, 404 nt
Filed under: Actinomycetes bacterium
Lineage: Bacteria; Bacillati; Actinomycetota; Actinomycetes
Description: Actinobacteria bacterium partial 16S ribosomal RNA
Rfam family: Bacterial small subunit ribosomal RNA
Source: RNAcentral